GAUGAACGCUGGCGGCGUGCCUAAUACAUGCGAGUCGAGCGAACAGACGAGGAGCUUGCUCCUCGGACGUUAGCGGCGGACGGGUGAGUAACACGUGGAUAACCUACCUAUAAGACUGGGAUAACUUCGGGAAACCGGAGCUAAUACCGGAUAAUAUAUUGAACCGCAGGGUUCAAUAGUGAAAGACGGUUUUGCGGUCACUUAUAGAUGGAUCCGCGCCGUAUUAGCUAGUUGGUAAGGUAACGGCUUACCAAGGCAACGAUGCGUAGCCGACCUGAGAGAGUGAUCGGCCACACUGGAACUGAGACACGGUCCAGACUCCUACGGGAGGCAGCAGUAGGGAAUCUUCCGCAAUGGGCGAAAGCCUGACGGAGCAACGCCGCGUGAGUGAUGAAGGUCUUCGGAUCGUAAAACUCUGUUAUUAGGGAAGAACAACUGUGUACGUAACUAUGCACGUCUUGACGGUACCUAAUCAGAAAGCCACGGCUAACUACGUG
Molecule: ribosomal RNA, 497 nt
Filed under: uncultured bacterium
Lineage: Bacteria
Description: partial 16S ribosomal RNA
Rfam family: Bacterial small subunit ribosomal RNA
Source: RNAcentral